RNAcentral lists this ribosomal RNA (253 nucleotides) under uncultured bacterium. Its description in RNAcentral is "partial 16S ribosomal RNA". It matches the Rfam family "Bacterial small subunit ribosomal RNA", at positions 524 to 776 of the family's 1533-position model. The record is from RNAcentral.
UACGUAGGGCGCAAGCGUUGUCCGGAAUUAUUGGGCGUAAAGGGCGCGUAGGCGGCGGGGUAAGUCGGGUGUGAAAUCUCAGAGCUCAACUCUGAAAUGGCACUUGAUACUGCUCUGCUAGAGGACUGGAGAGGAGAUUGGAAUUCACGGUGUAGCAGUGAAAUGCGUAGAUAUCGUGAGGAAGACCGGUGGCGAAGGCGGAUCUCUGGACAGUUCCUGACGCUGAGGCGCGAAGGCCAGGGGAGCAAACGGG